Molecule: long non-coding RNA, 588 nt
Organism: Haliotis rufescens (red abalone)
Lineage: Eukaryota; Metazoa; Mollusca; Gastropoda; Lepetellida; Haliotidae
Exons: 3
Source: RefSeq, a predicted model, not a curated record
AGGCAGAACAGCGACGGUAAUACACAACCUCGUCAUGUAUGACCACGUGACUAAACAAUAUCGCGUAUAUGUAUAAACGCGAUAGCCCCUCGAGCUUUUCCUACAGUCGACUGAAAGUGUGAAGAUGGAGUCAGUUUUCACCUUCUGCUUCCUUGUUGUUCUCGCCUUGGUCAGCCUUGGAUUUAGUCCAGUUUGGGCGGCAUCAGAGCCUGAGAACUCCGCCGCUACCCAAGGCUCCUCCGUCCUUUUCGGGUCCUUGGCGCUUGUGCUGGGCUAUGUCCUGUCGAAGUAGCCAGUGUCCGCCAUGAUGUCAUCUGUCCAGGAUCUGUAGAUGGACACAACGCAGGGGCAACAAAACCUUAAUCCUGACUGUAGCCAUGUUGUACGUCAUGAAGUGACACCCAUCCUUUUAUGACGUGUAUUCUUCGAGCCUGUAGCCACGGUGUACGUCAUGAAGUGACACCCAUCAUUUGAUCACGUGUAUUCUUCGAACCUGUAGUGACAGAAUUGUAACGUUAUGUCCACUUACAGAUCCAUGCAUCAGUUGCCCGCAUGAAUAUCACGAAUAAAUCUGAUAUCUGACAAAUA